GAGUAAAGAUUUCGGUCGCUUUGGGAGGAGCUCGCUUACUAUCAGCUUGUUGGUAGGGUAAUGGCCUACCAAGGCUAUGACGGUUAGGGGGUGUGAGAGCAUGACCCCCAGCAUUGGCACUGAAACACUGGCCAAACACCUACGGGUGGCUGCAGUCGAGAAUCUUCCACAAUGGGGGAAACCCUGAUGGAGCGAUGCUGCGUGCGGGAUGAAGGCCUUCGGGUUGUAAACCGCUUUUGUAGGGGACGAAAUUUUUGACGGUACCCUUUCGAAUAAGAGGUUGCUAACUCUGUGCCAGCAGCAGCGGUAAUACAGAGACCUCAAGCGUUAUCCGGAUUUACUGGGCGUAAAGCGUCUGUAGGGGGUUUAUUAAGUUCCAAGUAAAAUUUCAAGGCUCAACUUUGAAUUCGCUUGGAGAACUAAUAAACUGGAGUCUAGCAGAGGUGCAUGGAACUUGUGGUGUAGGAGUGAAAUCCGUUGAUAUCACAACGAACACCAAAGGCGAAGGCAUUGCACUGGGCUAGCACUGACCCUGAGAGACGAAAGCGUGGGGAGCAAAACGGAUUAGAUACCCGUGUAGUCCACGCCCUAAACGAUGAAUGCUAAAUGUUCGGGGAUUCGACCCCCUGGGUGUUACAGCUAACGCGUUAAGCAUUCCGCCUGGGAAGUACGGCCGCAAGGCUAAAACUCAAAGGAAUAGACGGGGAUCCGCACAAGCGGUGGAGCGUCUGGUUUAAUUCGACAGUAAGCGUGGUACCUCACCAGGGUUUGACAUCCCUUGACAGCCUUGGAAACAAGGUUUCCUUCGGGCAAGGUGACAGGUGCUGCAUGGUCGUCGUCAGUUCGUGCCGUGAGGUGUUCCGUUAAGUCGGGAAACGAACGAAACCCCUAUUGCAUGUUACAAUUUCUCAUGCAAGACUGCCCGGAUAUACUGGGAGGAAGGUGGGGAUGACGUCAGAUCUGCAUGGUCCUUAUACCCUGGGCGACACAGGCGCUACAAUGGCAGAGACAAAGGGUUGCAAAACCGCAAGGUGAAGCUAAUCCCAAAAACUUUGUCUAAGUUCGGAUUGAAGGCUGCAAUUCGCCUUCAUGAAGCUGGAAUCGCUAGUAAUCGUGAAUCAGCCACGUCACGGUGAAUAUGUUCCCGGAUCUUGUACUCACCGCCCGUCACACCAAGAGAGUUGGUAGCUCCCG
RNAcentral lists this ribosomal RNA (1194 nucleotides) under uncultured organism. RNAcentral describes it as "bacterial SSU rRNA". It matches the Rfam family "Bacterial small subunit ribosomal RNA", at positions 199 to 1423 of the family's 1533-position model. The record is from RNAcentral.